Small nucleolar RNA from Phyllostomus discolor (pale spear-nosed bat), 132 nucleotides. The record is from RefSeq and is a predicted model, not a curated record. NCBI's taxonomy places the organism in Eukaryota, Metazoa, Chordata, Mammalia, Chiroptera, Phyllostomidae.
GUGCACAUUUCAUUGGCCUGCUCUCUUGUACGUGUGAGCAGUGUUAUUUCUUAUGUGCUAUACAAGUAGUUGAAGGUUAAUUAGCAGUAUGACUAACUAUGUAGUAAUGCUGCCAGUCUCCUUCAGACAAAU